This 34-nucleotide ribosomal RNA is filed under the name Colletotrichum gigasporum. Its description in RNAcentral is "partial 18S ribosomal RNA". The record is from RNAcentral. Lineage: Eukaryota; Fungi; Ascomycota; Sordariomycetes; Glomerellales; Glomerellaceae.
GGUCUCCGUUGGAUAACCAGCGGAGGGAUCAUUA